UGGAGAGUUUGAUCCUGGCUCAGGACGAACGCUGGCGGCGUGCUUAACACAUGCAAGUCGAACGAUGAUGCCCAGCUUGCUGGGYGGAUUAGUGGCGAACGGGUGAGUAACACGUGAGUAACCUGCCCUUGACUUCGGGAUAACUCCGGGAAACCGGGGCUAAUACCGGAUAUGAGCCGCCUUCGCAUGGGGGUGGUUGGAAAGUUUUUCGGUCAGGGAUGGGCUCGCGGCCUAUCAGCUUGUUGGUGGGGUGAUGGCCUACCAAGGCGACGACGGGUAGCCGGCCUGAGAGGGCGACCGGCCACACUGGGACUGAGACACGGCCCAGACUCCUACGGGAGGCAGCAGUGGGGAAUAUUGCACAAUGGGCGAAAGCCUGAUGCAGCGACGCCGCGUGAGGGAUGAAGGCCUUCGGGUUGUAAACCUCUUUCAGCAGGGAAGAAGCGCAAGUGACGGUACCUGCAGAAGAAGCGCCGGCUAACUACGUGCCAGCAGCCGCGGUA
Molecule: ribosomal RNA, 503 nt
Filed under: Cellulosimicrobium cellulans
Lineage: Bacteria; Bacillati; Actinomycetota; Actinomycetes; Micrococcales; Promicromonosporaceae
Description: bacterial SSU rRNA
Rfam family: Bacterial small subunit ribosomal RNA
Source: RNAcentral